Molecule: ribosomal RNA, 377 nt
Filed under: uncultured Chloroflexota bacterium
Lineage: Bacteria; Bacillati; Chloroflexota
Description: bacterial SSU rRNA
Rfam family: Bacterial small subunit ribosomal RNA
Source: RNAcentral
UAAAACGUAGGACGCAAGCGUUAUCCGGAUUUAUUGGGCGUAAAGGGCGUGUAGGCGGCGUCUUAAGUUGGGCGUGAAAUCUUCCGGCUCAACCGGAAGGGUGCGUUCAAUACUGGGACGCUUGAGGACAGCAGAGGGAGGUGGAAUUCCCGGAGUAGCGGUGGAAUGCGUAGAUAUCGGGAGGAACACCAGUGGCGAAGGCGGCCUCCUGGGCUGUACCUGACGCUGAAGCGCGAAAGCGUGGGGAGCAAACGGGAUUAGAUACCCCGGUAGUCCACGCCGUAAACGAUGGAUACUAGGUGUCGGUGGUAUUGACCCCAUCGGUGCCGCAGCUAACGCAUUAAGUAUCCCGCCUGGGGACUACGGCCGCAAGGCUA